Molecule: ribosomal RNA, 369 nt
Filed under: Anisoscelis gradadius
Lineage: Eukaryota; Metazoa; Arthropoda; Insecta; Hemiptera; Coreidae
Description: SSU rRNA
Rfam family: Eukaryotic small subunit ribosomal RNA
Source: RNAcentral
GGAAUCCAAGGUAAUGAUCAAUAAGGACAGGCGGGGGCAUUCGUAUUGCGACGUUAGAGGUGAAAUUCUUGGAUCGUCGCAAGACGCACUAGAGCGAAAGCAUUUGCCAAGUAUGUCUUAAUUGAUCAAGAACGAAAGUUAGAGGUUCGAAGGCGAUCAGAUACCGCCCUAGUUCUAACCAUAAACGAUGCCAGCCAGCGAUCCGCCGACGUUCCUCCGAUGACUCGGCGGGGAGCUUUCCCCGGGAAACCAAAAGCUUUUGGGUUCCGGGGGAAGUAUGGUUGCAAAGCUGAAACUUAAAGGAAUUGGCAAAAGGGCACAACCAGGAGUGGAGCCUGCGGCUUAAUUUGACUCAACACGGGAAACCUC